Molecule: ribosomal RNA, 457 nt
Filed under: Escherichia coli
Lineage: Bacteria; Pseudomonadati; Pseudomonadota; Gammaproteobacteria; Enterobacterales; Enterobacteriaceae
Description: partial 23S ribosomal RNA
Rfam family: Bacterial large subunit ribosomal RNA
Source: RNAcentral
UGUAUAAUGGGUCAGCGACUUAUAUUCUGUAGCAAGGUUAACCGAAUAGGGGAGCCGAAGGGAAACCGAGUCUUAACUGGGCGUUAAGUUGCAGGGUAUAGACCCGAAACCCGGUGAUCUAGCCAUGGGCAGGUUGAAGGUUGGGUAACACUAACUGGAGGACCGAACCGACUAAUGUUGAAAAAUUAGCGGAUGACUUGUGGCUGGGGGUGAAAGGCCAAUCAAACCGGGAGAUAGCUGGUUCUCCCCGAAAGCUAUUUAGGUAGCGCCUCGUGAAUUCAUCUCCGGGGGUAGAGCACUGUUUCGGCAAGGGGGUCAUCCCGACUUACCAACCCGAUGCAAACUGCGAAUACCGGAGAAUGUUAUCACGGGAGACACACGGCGGGUGCUAACGUCCGUCGUGAAGAGGGAAACAACCCAGACCGCCAGCUAAGGUCCCAAAGUCAUGGUUAAGUGG